This 293-nucleotide ribosomal RNA is filed under the name uncultured eukaryote. RNAcentral describes it as "partial 18S ribosomal RNA". It matches the Rfam family "Eukaryotic small subunit ribosomal RNA", at positions 6 to 321 of the family's 1831-position model. The record is from RNAcentral.
GGUUGAUCCUGCCAGUAGUCAUAUGCUUGUCUUAAAGAUUAAGCCCGUCAAGUCUAAGUUUAGUAAUCAAACAGCGAAACUGCGAACGGCUCAUUAAAUCAGUUAUAGUUUAUUUGAUAGUCAAAUCUACAUGGAUAACUGUGGAAAACUAGAGCUAAUACAUGCUGUCAAACCUAACUUCUGGAAAGGUUGUAUUUAUUAGAUUUCAAACCAUCAUUGGUGAUGAUUCAUAGUAACUGAUCGAAUCGCAGCCUCGCUGUGAUAAAUCAUUCAAGUUUCUGCCCUAUCAGCUU